UCUCCGUAGGUGAACCUGCGGAGGGAUCAUUACAGAGUUCAUGCCCUACCGGGUAGAUCUCCCACCCUAUGUUAUUAUUACUUUGUUGCUUUGGCGGGCCGUUAGGCUCCGGCCCGACUACCGGCCCCGGCUGGUAAGCGCCCGCCAGAGGACCCAAAACCCUGAAUAUUAGUGUCGUCUGAGUACUAUAUAAUAGUUAAACUUUCGACAACGGAUCUCUUGGUUCUG
RNAcentral lists this unclassified non-coding RNA (228 nucleotides) under plant metagenome. RNAcentral's name for it is "partial contains small subunit ribosomal RNA, internal transcribed spacer 1, and 5.8S ribosomal RNA". The record is from RNAcentral.